CCACACCAAGAAAGCAGUCAUUUGCAACCCAAGGAGAGAGACAUCAGGAGAAAUCAAACCUGCCAACUUUAUAAUCUUGGGCUUUCACUCUCCAGAAUUGUCUCAGGCUCUCUUCAAUACGAAUUGCACAUGUCUUAUUGUUCCUACUACAGGGACACAGAGAAAGCUUAUUCUUCACCCACUGAGUGUUUGCUGAGAAUGAAUUGACAAGGGAAGACUACUAGAAGAAAAAGGCAUGCCGAAUUUUUUUGAAGUGCAUAAGCACAAGGGGAAUCAUGGAAGAAUGAUUACUCAAUAACCGAAUGAAGUCUAGAUGCUUAUAUACCCUUUUCAUAGAAGAAGAGGAGACAGAGGUUAUGGAAAUAAAUGAUUAUAAGAGACAUGAAUGAGCAAAUAUCCAUAGCCUGGGACAUACUUCCUCUGAGCUCUGGGGGAGGUGAUGGUAAGGUCCUGCUCUUCCCCUUCUGAAUGGCUGACUCAAGUCUACAAUGGAAUGUGGAGCUUCAGUAUAAGCCGAAGGAUCUGUUUUUACUGAUCAGCUAAUCAGUUCAUGUGUCAAUGACUUUAUGCAGAUAUGAAGUAGAAUAGAUGGGAAAAAUAUCAAACACCACGCAAGAUUCUGACUCCUGGAGGCUCAGGGCUGAUUGUUGGGGUUCAGGACUUCUCAAUGGAAGCCUUAGUCUUCUGAGAGCUAUCUUCCUAUCAUAUUUGGUAAAAAUGUAAAAAUAUCACCAUUGAAUCAUUGAGGAUUGAUUAUUGUUCCAAAUCACCAGUUGAGAGAGCUGAAGUAUUUUCUGCAACAGGAGGUAUAACAUUUAACAUUUUACCUGAUAUGAAUGAAUUAUAUGAGAAA
Non-coding RNA from Microcebus murinus (gray mouse lemur), 853 nucleotides. The record is from RefSeq and is a predicted model, not a curated record. NCBI's taxonomy places the organism in Eukaryota, Metazoa, Chordata, Mammalia, Primates, Cheirogaleidae.